AUACGGAGGAUGCAAGCGUUAUCCGGAUUUAUUGGGUUUAAAGGGUGCGUAGGCGGUUUGCUAAGCGGGAGGUGAAAUGCCGGCGCUCAACGUCGGAAGUGCCUCCCGAACUGGUGGACUUGAAUGACUCUGCCGUGGGAGGAAUGUGUAGUGUAGCGGUGAAAUGCUUAGAGAUUACACAGAACACCGAUUGCGAAGGCAUCUCACGAAGGGUUGAUUGACGCUGAGGCACGAAAGCGUGGGGAUCAAACAGGAUUAGAUACCCUGGUAGUCCACGCGGUAAACGAUGAUGGCUAACCGCUGGGCUUAUCAGUUCAGUGGCCAAGCGAAAGCGAUAAGCCAUCCACCUGGGGAGUACGACCGCAAGGUUGAAACUCAAAGGAAUUGACGGGG
RNAcentral lists this ribosomal RNA (393 nucleotides) under uncultured bacterium. Its description in RNAcentral is "partial 16S ribosomal RNA". It matches the Rfam family "Bacterial small subunit ribosomal RNA", at positions 523 to 918 of the family's 1533-position model. The record is from RNAcentral.